CGCCGGCGGUUCGCCGCCGGUGACGYUGUGAGAAGUUCAUUAAACCUUAUCAUUUAGAGGAAGGAGAAGUCGUAACAAGGUUUCCGUAGGUGAACCUGCGGAAGGAUCAUUG
This 112-nucleotide ribosomal RNA is filed under the name Frullania sp. A BlS-2016. RNAcentral describes it as "partial 18S ribosomal RNA". It matches the Rfam family "Eukaryotic small subunit ribosomal RNA". The record is from RNAcentral. Lineage: Eukaryota; Viridiplantae; Streptophyta; Jungermanniopsida; Porellales; Frullaniaceae.